AACUGUUCGAACACAUAUUUGAAUCACUUCCUGGAAAUAAAGGGAGCUGCCACAUGAGCUUAGAGGACACAGGCUGACUCAGUGAAGAUGAAGAUAAAUGAUGUGAAGGAAGAGGAGGAACCAGCAGAGUUCCCAGGAUGCAGCUAUGUUGCAGUGAAAAGCGAUUGUUCCAAAGAAGAACCUCCAUAUUUCAGUGCUGAACCAAAAGACAAUAACAGGAGUCCUGCUGGUGGGGGUCAGCAGCUGCCUAUGUGUGCUUUGUGUCAGGAUGUCCUGAAACAUCCAGUUUCUACUAGCUGUGGACACUGGUUAUGCAGACAACAAGCUGACUCAUACUGGGACCAGUCUGCUUCAUUAGAAGAUGACUCCUGUCCCCAUAAUGGAGAAACAUCGAGCACUGGACUGCAGUCAGCUGGACAGAGGAGCUGUAUACAUAAUGUUGGUCUGCAGGAGGUUUUAGAUGAACAUAAGAUCAGUCUGAGGAGGAGAUGUGAAC
This is a long non-coding RNA of Oreochromis niloticus (Nile tilapia), 496 nucleotides long. RefSeq lists it as uncharacterized. The record is from RefSeq and is a predicted model, not a curated record. The transcript is spliced from 4 exons. NCBI's taxonomy places the organism in Eukaryota, Metazoa, Chordata, Actinopteri, Cichliformes, Cichlidae.